UACGUAGGGGGCAAGCGUUGUCCGGAAUCAUUGGGCGUAAAGCGCGUGUAGGCGGCCCGGUAAGUCCGCUGUGAAAGUCGGGGGCUCAACCCUCGAAUGCCGGUGGAUACUGUCGGGCUAGAGUGCGGAAGAGGCGAGUGGAAUUCCUGGUGUAGCGGUGAAAUGCGCAGAUAUCAGGAGGAACACCAAUUGCGAAGGCAGCUCGCUGGGACGUUACUGACGCUGAGACGCGAAAGCUAGGGAGGCGAAAGGG
Molecule: ribosomal RNA, 253 nt
Filed under: uncultured bacterium
Lineage: Bacteria
Description: partial 16S ribosomal RNA
Rfam family: Bacterial small subunit ribosomal RNA
Source: RNAcentral